RNAcentral lists this ribosomal RNA (465 nucleotides) under uncultured bacterium. RNAcentral's name for it is "partial 16S ribosomal RNA". It matches the Rfam family "Bacterial small subunit ribosomal RNA", at positions 339 to 795 of the family's 1533-position model. The record is from RNAcentral.
CUACGGGGGGCUGCAGUCGAGGAUCUUUUGCAAUGGGCGCAAGCCUGACAAUGCGACGCCGCGUGAGCGAUGAAGGUCUUCGGAUUGUAAAGCUCUGUUGCAGGGGAUGAAAGAUAAUUUGGUAAAUAGCCAGAUUGUUUGACAGUACCCUGAGAGGAAGCCACGGCUAACUCCGUGCCAGCAGCCGCGGUAAUACGGAGGUGGCAAGCGUUGUUCGGAUUGAUUGGGUGUAAAGGGCAUGUAGGCGUCUUGGUAAGUCGAAUGUGAAAUCCCGUAGCUCAACUACGGAACUGCAUUUGAAACUGCCGGGAUUGAGUACGGAAGGGGAGAACGGAAUUCCCGGUGUAAGAGUGAAAUCUGUAGAUAUCGGGAGGAACACCAGUAGCGAAGGCGAUUCUCUGGUCCGAUACUGACGCUGAAAUGCGAAAGCUAGGGGAGCAAACAGGAUUAGAUACCCGCGUAGUC